GGGGGUGGGAGGGGGGGUUGAACUGCUGCAAGAUGUGGUUAUCCGACAUUGAUUUUUACAUAUAUCUAUAUUGGUCAAUCAAUUUUUCACAAAUUAAAGUUGAGGGGGUGGGGGGUAAGUGAAAAAACUAUGUGAAUUAGAAUUAAGUUGUUUAUCCUUCAUUGAACUUUUGAUGUCGUCCCUUAUGCAAUAAUACAUCUAUUAACUGCAUAAAGCG
RNAcentral lists this long non-coding RNA (217 nucleotides) under Mytilus galloprovincialis (Mediterranean mussel). Lineage: Eukaryota; Metazoa; Mollusca; Bivalvia; Mytilida; Mytilidae. The record is from RNAcentral.